RNAcentral lists this long non-coding RNA (6411 nucleotides) under Xyrichtys novacula (pearly razorfish). The record is from RNAcentral. Lineage: Eukaryota; Metazoa; Chordata; Actinopteri; Labriformes; Labridae.
CUUUUGACUUCAUGGCUUGGUUUGUGCUCUGACGUGCUCUGUCAGCUGUGGGAUCUUAUAUAGACAGGUGUGGCUUUCGAAAUCAUGUCCAAUCAGCUGAAUUUGCCACAGGUGGACUGCAAUCAAGCUGGAGGAACAUUUCAAGGCUGAUCAGUGGAAACAGGAUGCACCUGAGCUCAAUUUUGAGUUUUAUAGCAAAGGGUGUGAAUACUUAAGUAUAUGCAACAUUUGAGUGUCUUAUUUUUAAUAAAUUGGCAAAAUGAUCUAAAAAAAUAUUUUCACUUUGUCAAUAUGGGGUAUUUUGUGUAGAAUUUUUGAGGGAAAAAAGGAAUUUAAUCCAUUUUGGAAUGAGGCAAAGGUGGCAAGGUAACAUAACAAAAUGUGGAAAAAGUGAAGUGGUAUGAAUACUUCCUGGAUGCACUGUACAUUACACAUGACAUAAAAAUUACGACGACUUAUUUCAAGUUUUUUUCUUUAUCUAUGUACAUGUCAUCAGUUUCUAGGUCCCAAUUUUUCUUCUACCCCCAAAAAGUUUCAAAAUCGGUUGAAUACAGCGGCCUCAAAAGGUAAAUUGAAAUACACAUAAAAAGAAUUUCAAUUCAUUUGAAAAAAAAAAAAAAAAAAACAUUGGCACACUCAAAUCCUGCAGUUUUGUUGAAAAAGUAAUUUAUUCAAAAGUAUUAAAAAACAGAAUCAAAGUUACAUUUGAACAGAUUUUUUUCAUGCAUUCUGGGAUUUUUCAAAGUUCAAUUUCGAAAUUCAAGACUUUCAGGUACCAUUUUAUUUUUUCAGGUUCAAAUCUUAUUUUUCCACUUCACUUUUUAUUUUUUCACUUACACUACUUUUCAAUACUUUUGAGCCUAAUCUGGCUCCAUAUGUUUGAGCCGAGCGUCAUCACAGCAACUCUUGGCGGCUCUCCUGCUGAAUGCGUACAAUGCUACUGCGCAAUGCUGGUUUCAGGAAGUGAAGAAAAAUCAUGGAAAUGCUGAGAGCUUUACCGAGGCUGAAUACCGAUGUAUACUGGUGGAAGGUGGAACCAAGUUGUUCAUAGUAUGUACAGUCUAUGCAUGCCACUUGUGAGAUGGUGUUAGUGGACGGGGGUGUCUGUUUCUUGACUGCAUAAAGGAUGUGUAAAAUACUGAAUUCCUCAGUCAGAGGAAGCUGCCUUUGUUGUUAUCCCUCUCGGGGUCACGGGUGGGCUGGAGCCUAUCCCAGCUCAGAGCAGUGGAUUAAAACAGAGUGGCGACACUCCCGUAGACAUACGCUGUACAGCCCGGCGGACCCCACUUCCGGGUUAUGGAACUCUUAAUAGUUCCAACAUGACCGCCUGUCACGUCGGACGCCGUUCGCUUCUAUGGCCACAAGGCAAGCACUCACCGAGGUUAAAUGAUAAAAUAAAAGUUUAAUGCCAAUACAUGUGUUAUUGAUAUCGAGGGGACCCCUUUAUAUGUAAAAAUGUAUAUCCCAAAUGUAAUUACGUUUUUUUAGUCAGGAAUUGGGAUCGAUUUUUUAGCCACGGUUUGCUCCCACACUCCCCGAGGUAAAAUAUUGUAUCAACGAAUGUAAUGCCAAUACCUGUGUAAAUGGUAUUGAGGGACCCCUUUAUAUGUAAAAUGAUUUUAAUUCUAGUAUGCUCAAAUUGUAAUUACAAAUGUAAUUACGUUUUUUUAGUAAAGAAUUUGGAUCGAUUUUUUAGCCACGGCCUGCUAGCUGGACGUCGUCAGCUGUAGAGGCCUGCCAAAAUUUAUUGUGUGACUGAGUUAUGAAUCACAGAUAAAUCAUCAUCAUCAAUCAUAUGUUGAGAUGGUUACUUGUGGGCUUUAUUUUAGAUUUCAGCCUUUAUCAGUUCCCGAUGUUAUAUGCAAUUUAUCCUUUUUAGACUAACAUAAGUGCUAUGUAAUUUGAUUGCUGCUUAUGGGAUGAUAGAGUUAAGGGGCCGCUACUUUUUAAAUCCUGUCAGCAUUUAAGGCAUAUGUUUAACAUGGAAAAAUGUUAUGCAGGCCAUGCUGCAAGACCAAAACAUUGCACAAUUGUUUAAACAGUGUGUAACACCUGUUACUUACCACUUUAUUGUAUUAUUUUCGCUUAUUAAAAAGUAACACGUGUUACCAAACUUGUCUUAUUUCACUUUUAUUUGUCAUCCAGCCGCUAAAUAUACGUAAGUGACUUUGACGUGUACACAGUAAUCCAAUAAGAGUUGCAAAUGUUGACUUUUUACGGUUAAUUUUAAUAUUUACCUCUUAAAUGCGCGCUCAUUGCAGUCUGCCCCGUUGAAGAGCAUGGACAGUGCAGGCUGCGUUUGGAACUAUGGAGGGGUACAUGAACCACGUGACCGCUCCGGCGGCGAGAUCUGAAGUUGUCGCCACUCUGUUUAAUCCACUGCUCUGUCCCAGCUGUCAUCGGGCGAGAGGCAGGGUACACCCUGAAUCGGUCGCCAGUCAAUUGCAGGGCCACAUAGAGAAACAAACAACCAGUCAUACUCACACUCAUACCUAAGGAUAAUUUAGAGUCACCAAUUAACCUAAUGAGCAUGUUUUUGGUCUGUGGGAGGAAGCCAGAGUGCCCUGAGAGGACCCACGCAUGCACAGGAAGAACAUGAAAACUUCACCUGACUCGGGUAUUGAACUGGUGGUCCUCUUGGUGUGAACACAUGCACUACCUGCUGCGCCAAUGUGCCCUCAAGUAAAAUAUUUUGAAGACAAAGACCACAAUCUCUGCCGUUCUUCUCGGCUAGCUGAGAGUCAGAUGCAGUAUCAUUUUUCUGACAAUUUCUUUUCCCACUUCCUCAUCAGCAUGGCAACAGCCAGCUGAUGAUGUCAUGUCUGCUAAGUUUCCUUUUACUUCUGUUAAUGCUUAAGUUUACUUUAUUUUUGUACAUUUAUUUUUUGUUUAUGUCAUGCAUUUCCUGUUUUAUUUUGUAGUUCACUAACCCUUGUUUCUGUCUUCUAGCUUUGUUCCUGUCUGGUCUGCCCUACUGUUUCCCAUCCCACCUGUUUCCCAUCACCCUCAUUACCUCCUGUAAUUAACCUUGUGUGUCUUAUUGUCUUGUCGCCAGUUCGUCGUACCUUGUGUCUCAUUCCAGCUUUAUUCACAGGUAUAUUCAAGCCAUUGUUUACCUUUGCCUGUCUUUUUGGACCUUGCCUUUUUGCCUCACGUUUUGGAUACUUCUGCCUGAUCUGACUGCCUUUUUGUGUACCGACCUCUGCUUGUGCUUCAUAAAACACUCUCUGUUGGACAAAGUGAUUCGUUGUCUCGCCGUUGUGUCCUCCUUUCUGUGCCUCGUUUCAUGACAAAUGAUGACGAUAACAUAACACAGCUGUCUUGAGUUUGUAAUCUUGUCCAUUUUGUCUCUUUUUUGUUCAACUAAUUUUAUUUAAUCUAUAAUAUUGAUUUUCUCCCCAGCUGUAUCACCAGCUACCUUGAAAACUGUUUUAACAGCGCCAAAGUACACAUCUACACCAAGUAUAAAUACUAUGUUCAUUGAUUUCAAACCAAUUCCCUUAAGCCUGAUUCGUGAUUAGUUAAUAUGCAUGUCAAUCACUGACUGUCUAAGUAUUAUUGUCUACAAACAAAGUGAGAUAUUUUUUGUUUUCUAACGUAGGUCACCACAGCACACCGGGUGAAGCAGGAGAGGACAAAGUACACAAGUUAUUUGUUAACCCACCUAUACAGCAUAUAUUGAACGUGACUAAUGUUGCAAGUAUAAGAUUUCCAUGUGUUUUCUCUCCCUGCUUUGUUUACCUUUGCCUGUCAGUGUGACAGGCAGGACACAAGGUAUUUGUUGAUAAGUAUGGCAAUGUUCACAAUGGUGACACUGUAAGUACAUUAUUACAAUAUCCCCCAACCCCGACAGUGAGAACUAGCGGCAAAAAAACCUCAUGUCCACACCACAACCAGGACACCUAAAGGUACACAGUAAUUCAGUGUAGUGUUGGUCUGCUGUGGAAUAGGUUGUAAGUUACAAACGUGAUUUAUGCAAUUUAUUUCUCUCCCCCCUACACACAGAUUCACUACACACAGUCCCAUCCAUAGUCCUGUCAGGACCCCUUAGGGUAACAGUUUGAUUAGAGUAGUGAUCACAAUAGUGAGUGUGUAAGAAAGAAAAAAAAAAGAGGCAUUUAAUUGCCUUUUCCACCCCACAGCCAGUACUCCACUAGGUAAUAUUUGUACAGCGAUGAUCACAAGGGUGUGUACUAUUUCAUUAACUACAAAUAUGUGCACUCCAGUACAGAGAAUAUUUUUUAAAAAUUUUAUAUCAGAGAUAUGAAUCCAAAAGCUGUGAUAUAAAUAAUGGCAUUGUUUUUGCAGAUGUCAGCAGCUGGCUUUCCAAAAUAGCCAAGGCUAUUAUCAAAAAACUGAGAUCAAACAGUUAGUGUAAAUGACAAAGUUGAGAGAUUUUCAGAUGGCAUGGCAAAGAUGUUAUUUAGAUGGGAAAUUCCUUUUUUUUACCCAGUAGUGAACUGUGACUCCAGUGUGAGCUCAAGAAGCAGGACACCUACAAGUAGAUUUUUAUUUGCAAUGAUGUAAUUAGAAUUUGCAAUUUUCUUUCUUUUACACUCAACAGGGCAUUGAACUCGAAGGGGAAGCACUUCACAAGUUAAAUAUGUAUUGUGUAAUGAGUAUAACAGUGAUAACAGGUGACUUGCUAAGUAAGAUGUGUAUGUUCUUUUUUUCCCUCCCCAACAGAGACUCCUAGCCCUCAGAGUAAAAGAAAGACCAUCCGUCUCAAAAACUGUCUGGACUCCACAAGUUACAGAUCGACUCUAGAAUUAACCUUGAUUAUAGAAGUAAUCACGACUACCUUGUGUUAUCUUUGCAUAUUGAUAUUUUAUUAAUUGUUUGAAUAUACUUAUGUUUGCUUAACUCAAGCUCCUGUCAAUUAAGAGCAUAUGUGAAAUGCCUAUAUUGUAUUUGCGAUUUUCAAUAGUGAUGUUGCAUUUAUGACAUAUAAUUGCCUUGUCUUUUACUCUCAGGAAACCGGGGCAGAAGUCAAAGGCCAAAAAAGAAAAAAAAAAAAAAAACAUGCACUCCUAGUACAUUUUCAUUUUUCAGGAUGACAUGCAGAACAACUAUUUUAUUUAUAAACAGAACUAUUUUAAAAUAUAAAAAAUGAAAUGUUAUUUAUGGAUAUGUAAAACAACCAAAUUUAAGUAAAACAUAUCCCAAAGCACAGGCAGAAUGCCACAUACUUUUUUUUUUUUUUUUUUUUUUUGCAUUUUGGUUCAGGUUGAUGCAUCCUAGGCAGGUAGGGUUUCUGGAUCUUUUUUUUUUUUUUUUUUUUUUUUUUUUCAAAAAAUGUGUAAUGUUUUAAAUACAAAUAACUAGAUUUUUAAUUAUUUUUGUAAUUUUAUAUGUUAGACUUUGUGCUGGUUUUUAACCUUAAGUUUAAUAGAAUAACCCAAAGUUUAUUUUAUUUUGGUAAUAUUUUAUAUUUGAAUUUGUGCUUUUAUUUUAUUGCAAUGUAUGUUUAAAAAUGUGUUUAGAAAUUAAAAAUGUGUUGUUUGCACAUUCAUAUGUGAUGGUUGGAUAAUGUUUGAAUACUGUAUUGAUUUAGAUUACACUAGCAUAGUUUGGUUAAUGUUAACAUCAAGAGAUAUACUUAUAUCCAGUGGUAAAAUUAGCAUGACAUUAGUGUUACUGAAACCUAUUUAAAAGAAUAAAAAUAAAAAUAAAAAGAUUAUGAUGAUUAUUACUUCAAUAAUCGCUUGUUUGUGGGGGAGCCCUGACAAGUCCAUCAAGUCCAUCACCGAGUGCAGGGUCAUUUCCUUUAAGUAAUUAUCAUCAUAAUAAUUAUUUUGCACUGCAGACACUGUAGUUCUUCUGCCUUAGCGUCUCGGUCUGAUUGCAUUUCCAUUAAGUAAUAUUUAUAAAUGUUCUUCCUUGAGCAACAAAACUCAGCUGCACUUCAAGGAAAUGACCCGCUGCACUCAGUGAUCGACUUGUCAGGGCUCCCCCCCCCCCCCCCCACAAACAAGCGGCUGCUGGAAGAAAGUGGGUGAGUUUCGUUUGGUCUCUUUGCUAAAGAAACAGGCAAAGCUAAAAAGAUGUUUGGUGGCUAGUACUAUGUUUGGGUCCCUGUAUGUACUGUUUAUUAAGUUAGGUGCUGUUCUGAGCAUUAUUUGUGGCUAUAGAGCAGCUUUUUGGUUGAGGUGUGCGCAUGGAGUGAUAGACCACUGUGUAUUGCUUUAGUGCAGUCUUUACUAAAGUUGGUAUAACUAGAGAAGCAAGCGGUCGGCAACAUUCAUCUCUGGAGGAGGUGUCUAACUCGGUGUUACGGUGUGUUUGACCUUAACAUAAUUUUAUGACGGAAUAUUUCUUUAACAUUCAAUUUUGACAACUUAUAUUCCUUUUAAUAUAGGCUUGUUGUAAAUAAUUUUGAUAGAUUCCAAAGGCCGGAUAUAUUAGAAUAUC